GCAAUUGCUGCCUUAUUCUGUUUUAGGGUAAGCAGAGAGAUAGAUUACAAUACUUCUCUUUAAAGCUCAAAAUUCAUAAAACCAAAACAAAUAUAUAUAUUUUUUCCUCUUUAAAAACUAGGCCUUUUCCCCAUCACUUCUCUAAAUACUCUGUCACAGGCAAUCUUACGCUACUCCCUGCCUCUCGACACAAUCCCCCUAAUCCUAUUGGCCUUGCGGUAAGCUCUUUCUUCCUGUUUAAGGCAAAGGCCAUAGACUUCUGUCUCAAAUUUUGAUGGCCAAUUGCUUUUUAUUUUAAUUAGAUUUGAAUUUUUUGAAUACCCAUUAUUUCUUGUGCUGAAUUCUAAGUGGGUUUUGCAUUGGCAGUUUAAAAACUGCUGUUUGGUUGUUUUUGUUGUUGUGGACCUUAUGGUGUUUGUUCCUGCGGUGAGUUUGGUUGUUCUGAUUUGAAUUUGGUGGCUUUUUAUUUUGAUUUGUUAGUGAAUUGAAAGGAAUUUGCUUAUCCUCUGAAUAUAUAAAAAUGCGUCUGGAUUUUACUGGACAUAUAGGAGUUAUGAUUACGAUUUGCAUGUGUUAAACGCUGAAACCUUUUUUAGCUAUGGAGGUUUUGGGCUUUCUCCGGUCAAAAUUAUGCCCUUAUGUUAUAACUUAAGACAUAAUUCGCUGUUAGAUGUACGUCUAUGAAUAUGAGAUUUUUGGUGUUGCUUGCUGGAUUUUCCCUUUUGUGAAAUUGUUAUCUCAUAUACUCAAGGUAUUAUUCGUGUCAGAAUUGUAUGUGGAAUUUUUAUGAUCAAUGUGCUGGUGUGUAUUUGUGAAUCAAUCUGCUUAAGAGUACAUGGCCAACGGCGCCUCUAAUAUCUUAUUUUGAGGUAUACAUACAAUCACUAUGCAAAAUUAAGAGGUCUCGCAUAAUUCACAACAUACAAUCUCUGAUGCUCUCUGCAAUUACUUGAUUUGUUCUUGGUUAGAAGGAUCGGUUAACAGCCGCUACUAUGUUGAUUUGAAACUUCAAUCGGUCAUUGAUGGAUGAAAUUGUAGUUUGGGGCUGUCACUAGAAAUUUAUGUUACAUGGGAUUUAUGAAAUUUGUGAAGUGGAAUUAAAGGCUUAGACACUACUUGAAAAUUUGAAGGCUAAUUUUGCUUGGAUUGAAGCCUUUCUUGUGUAGUUUUAUUUAGAUUUAGAGGCUUGACUAUAAAUGUUUAUCUCAAUUUAAUUAUGUGGAUUAACGUUGGAUUUAAAUCUUGAAUGAUGUUUCAUACUUCUUGUUUAGGAAUAGUUUUGCUUCUAUUUUCUUUCAUUCGUAUGGUCCAGCUCAUCUUCUCCCCCAGUCCCAUCAUCACAAAGGAUGCUUGCUUUUUCUUCUGUCUUGUACUGAUUCCCUAAAUAUUCUGGAUAUGGCACUUAUUGCAGUUUGCAGUAGGAGAACUUUUUGGUUGUUGAGAAGGUAGGAAAACUAAGGAUUCUAUUUUAAAAUUCUGGAGUUUUUGGUAAGAAUGGAUCAUGGGUUAAUAUUGAAGCAAUUUCAAUAUCAUUAUUGUAACACUGUCUGUUCUAUUUAUGCAAUUAUUAUUUGAACAUUUUUCUCUUGGCUGGAUUUUAUAUACAUUUCAAGUCCAUUUGGUGAAAAAUCACAUGAGUUAAUAGAUUUAUGUGGCCUAAUAGCAUAAUCAUAUAGGCAUUUGUGAUAAGUCUAAAUGAGACUAAUGGUAACAAAUGGACAUUGAUUAAGAUUGAGUUAAAUUUAUGGUUCUUGGGAUUGGUGACCCAUUUUAUGCUUUACACGCUUCUGUUUUAAAUUUCAGUUAUUAAAAGCAAGCAUACAGGUGUGUGUUUGUUAAGGGAUAAAAAAGAGUAUUAUAUAUGACAUUGGUGAAGUGUAAGAAGUUAUUUCAUUUCUUGAAGAGGAUCCAGUAUCUCCAUAAACUGUCACAGUUGAUCGGAAUAUGAUAUUCUAGGUGCUGCUUUGCAUGCAAAACUAUCUGAUGUUUAAAUGCAAACACUAUUAUCAUGAAUGUCGCAAAUUUUACCUUUUUACCAUCUAACUAUUAAUGGAAGUAUAAUGUUUUGGACAAAGAAUACAAAUUGAUUUUGCUCAAAAUUUCAACUUCUUAAACAAGGAAGUUUUUUUUUGUCAUCCUUGCACAGAGGCCAUGGAAGUUACUUACAAGAAAGAAAGAAGUGGCCUUUCUGUAGUUAUCUCUUCAUAUUUUAAGUUUCUAUAAUUCACAUCUUCUCAAAUUCUAAUAUAUAUAGUUGUUUGACUUAUGAUGUUCUGCACCGUCAUUCAAGUUUCUGUUAGUGACAAUACAUCAAAGAGUUGAUUUAUUGGUGCUUGAGACUUUAGAGUUGAUUUAUUGGCGCUUGAGACUUUGCCCUUUAAAUUUACCACAAUAAGAAGUUAUUUGCUUUUUAUUGUUAAACGUCAAUGUUCCAUGAUGAAUUUUGAGUUCAUAAACCCCCCUAAAAUGUUUACAUUUGUUUACAUCUUAUAGAAAUUGAUGAACCUUUUACUGUUGCUUCAUGCAAUGAGAAGAUCAAAAUUCAUGAUGUACAGGAAUUUAGAUUGUAGAAUUCUGAAUGUUGUGAGGCAAAAACUAUUCCUAUGCUGCCUUAACAAAAUGGUUAACUAAGAUGAAUCAGGACUGGGAAUAAACUUAAAAGGAAACUUAAAUGCCACAUGCCAUAGCUGGAGAACUGAGGAGAAGAGACUAACAUAUUUAAUUUUGGCAGUCUCUGCUUUCAGGAAUGAGAUGAUUCAAAAACAUUGAUAGGCAUUUCGAUUAUUUAUUGCCAUUUUUAAAUGUCCUUGUCUGGUUCUACCACUCUCAGUUGUCUCAAAUAUAUUGUACUCCUGGUUUUAUUUAAUCUAUUUACCUAGAGCUUUGAAAUAUAACAGAGAAGUUUUGAUCACAGACGGAGCAAAUGAGAUGUGUGCUUAUAGUCCUUUGCUGACAAAAUCAACGUAGACAAUUGUCAGGGAUAGAAUGAUAUUUUAACGAUUAUUUUGUUUUUAAAGUAUUUUCAAUGCCAUCUAAGCGCAAAUGUAAUAGUUGUGUCCUUAUCAGUAUUCAGAUUAGUCUUUAUACAUACUUUUCUUUUUCAAUUCCCAUACUAUUUCUUGGUUUCAACACAACGAUGGCUUUUCAUCCUGUUGUAUCAGAUAGUCUAUGCCAAUACUUCCAUCGCCAUUGCAACAAGUUCAUCAUUGGAGAAACAUUUGAGACUAGGUGAAACAGUGAUUAGUAUGUCUGAACUGAUUGAAGGUCUUCCAGACGCCAUUGCUAUCAGGUGCAUUGCACGAGUUCCUUUCUACCUCCAUCCGAAUCUAGAGCUUGUUUCUCGUUCAUGGCAGGCUGCAAUACGUAGUCCUGAGCUGUUUAAAGCUCGACAGGAGGUUGGUUCAGCAGAAGAUCUGCUAUGUGUGUGCGCUUUUGAUCCUGAGAAUUUGUGGCAGCUUUAUGAUCCUCUUCGAGACCUUUGGAUUACUCUUCCUGUACUGCCUUCAAAAAUCAGACACCUCUCCCACUUUGGUGUUGUUUCCACAGCUGGAAAACUGUUUGUGCUUGGUGGUGGAAGUGACGCGGUAGACCCGUUGACUGGUGACCAGGACGGAAGCUUUGCAACAAAUGAAGUGUGGUCGUAUGACCCUGUAUUACGACAGUGGGCCCCACGUGCAUCCAUGCUUGUGCCCCGCGCGAUGUUUGCUUGCUGUGUUUUGAAAGGAAAAAUAAUUGCUGCGGGUGGUUUCACCAGCUGCCGAAAAUCUAUAUCUCAAGCAGAAAUGUAUGAUCCAGAGAAAGAUGUGUGGAUGUCAAUGCCGGAUUUGCACCGCAGCCACAAUUCAGCAUGUUCUGGAGUAGUUAUUGGGGGAAAGGCGCACGUCUUGCACAAGGGCUUAUCAACAGUGCAAGUAUUGGACAAUAUAGGGUCUGGAUGGACUGUUGAGGAUUAUGGUUGGCUCCAAGGUCCAAUGGCAGUUGCUCAUGGGGCCUUGUACGUGAUGAGUCACGGACUAAUUUGCAAGCAGGAGGGAAAAAAGAGGAAGGUAGUGGUUUCAGCAUCUGAGUUUCGAAGAAGGAUUGGAUUUGCAAUGACUGGGCUAGGAGAUGACAUAUAUGUGAUAGGAGGGGUGAUUGGUCCGGACCGAUGGAACUGGGAUAUCAAGCCAGUGUCUGAUGUUGAUAUCUUGACAGUUGGGGGUGAGAGACCAACUUGGCGACAGGCAGCUCCAAUGACGCGGUGCCGGGGUACAAUUCUUGGGUGUACGCAGCUGAGAAUAUAGGUCUGCUUUUGUGAUAUUUGGUGUUUUGUUGUGAAAAUUAUGCUGUUGUCAAGGCAUUGAUGGCCCUCCUAUUGGGAGAUAAGAGGAAUGUAAUGUUUCUUUGCUCUGGCUUUUGAGCCUUUAUCCUUGCUCUUGAUAUCUGCUGAAGUUAGGUGAUUGAGAAGCCUCCAUUUUGAGGGCAACACAGAAGGUCUAACAGGAUGGACAAGGAACCAUUUUGUUUCCCCAAUUUUUUUUCCUCCCUCCUUUCUCAUACUUGGAUAUUUGAACUGAACUAAUCCAUUGUCAUGUCAACUAGUUUCUAUAUUCUUUCCUGUCCAUAGUUCACAAGUGUAGCCGUGCGACUCUACUGUUUAUGUUCAUAAAUUAUUCGCUUUGGACGAUC
This is an RNA transcript of Manihot esculenta (cassava), 4668 nucleotides long. It is a transcript of the gene named F-box/kelch-repeat protein SKIP30, with no coding region annotated. The record is from RefSeq and is a predicted model, not a curated record. NCBI's taxonomy places the organism in Eukaryota, Viridiplantae, Streptophyta, Magnoliopsida, Malpighiales, Euphorbiaceae. The transcript is spliced from 2 exons.